AGAGUUUGAUCAUGGCUCAGGACGAACGCUGGCGGCGCGCUUAACACAUGCAAGUCGAGCGAGAACCGGGCCUUCGGGCCCGGGGAAAGCGGCGAACGGGUGAGUAACACGUGGGUAACCCACCCUUGGUACCGGGAUAGCCCGGGGAAACCCGGAUUAAUACCGGAUGGCCCAACAGCUCUUCGGGGCGGUUGGAAAAGGUAGCUUCGGCCUCCGACCAAGGACGGGCCCGCGGCGGAUUAGCUUGUUGGUGGGGUAACGGCCCACCAAGGCGACGAUCCGUAGCUGGUCUGAGAGGACGAUCAGCCACACUGGGACUGAGACACGGCCCAGACUCCUACGGGAGGCAGCAGUGGGGAAUCUUGCGCAAUGGGCGAAAGCCUGACGCAGCGACGCCGCGUGGGGGAAGAAGGCUUUCGGGUUGUAAACCCCUUUCAGGAGGGACGAAGCCACUCGGGUUAAUAGCCCAGAGGGUGACGGUACCUCCAGAAGAAGCCCCGGCUAACUACGUGCCAGCCGCCGCGGUAAUAC
RNAcentral lists this ribosomal RNA (531 nucleotides) under uncultured bacterium. RNAcentral describes it as "bacterial SSU rRNA". It matches the Rfam family "Bacterial small subunit ribosomal RNA", at positions 8 to 526 of the family's 1533-position model. The record is from RNAcentral.